GCGGCGGGUAGCUCAAUGGCAGAGCAGGAAACUGCUUUCCACGCCCCUUGCCCCGGCACAUGCUGCGGGCCGAAGUGCGAAAGUUACCACUCUUAAUGGCCGGGUUGCGGGUUCGAGUCCCGCCCCGCCGCU
This 132-nucleotide transfer RNA is filed under the name Deinococcus metalli. RNAcentral describes it as "tRNA-Gly". It matches the Rfam family "tRNA". Rfam says of the family: Transfer RNA (tRNA) molecules are approximately 80 nucleotides in length. The record is from RNAcentral. Lineage: Bacteria; Thermotogati; Deinococcota; Deinococci; Deinococcales; Deinococcaceae.